AAUGGGCGCAAGCCUGAUCCAGCAAUACCGCGUGUGUGAAGAAGGCUCUAGGGUCGUAAAGCACUUUCAGUAGGGAGGAAAGGGAUGUAGUUAAUACCUGCAUUCUGUGACGUUACCUACAGAAGAAGCACCGGCUAACUCCGUGCCAGCAGCCGCGGUAAUACGGAGGGUGCAAGCGUUAAUCGGAAUUACUGGGCGUAAAGCGCGCGUAGGCGGAUUGUUAAGUCUCAUGUGAAAGCCCUGGGCUCAACCCGGGAACUGCAUGGGAUACUGGCAAUCUAGAAUACAGUAGAGGGUAGUGGAAUUUCAGGUGUAGCGGUGAAAUGCGUAGAGAUCUGAAGGAACAUCAGUGGCGAAGGCGACUACCUGGACUGAUAUUGACGCUGAGGUGCGAAAGCGUGGGGAGCAAACGGGAUU
RNAcentral lists this ribosomal RNA (417 nucleotides) under uncultured Gammaproteobacteria bacterium. RNAcentral describes it as "bacterial SSU rRNA". It matches the Rfam family "Bacterial small subunit ribosomal RNA", at positions 370 to 779 of the family's 1533-position model. Lineage: Bacteria; Pseudomonadati; Pseudomonadota; Gammaproteobacteria. The record is from RNAcentral.